This is a long non-coding RNA of Gasterosteus aculeatus aculeatus (three-spined stickleback), 723 nucleotides long. The record is from Ensembl. Lineage: Eukaryota; Metazoa; Chordata; Actinopteri; Perciformes; Gasterosteidae.
GAAUGACGCAAAUUAACUACCGUAAAUUCCGGAAUAUAGAGCGCACCUGAAUAUAAGCUGCACCACCUAAAUUUAGAACGAAAAAAUGUGUACAUAUAUAAGCCACACCUCUCCACGCGGCAGAAAAUUGACUACUGACGCAACACAUCUACUCCAACGUCUCACCAUUGAUUCAUUAAUGAGCGUUGAGCUCCAGGUUGUCCUGGCUGCACCACGACAACAGAUGGUCAGACUCCCACCUGUAGGCGGACUCAUCCCCACCGGAGAUCAGUCCAAUGAGGGUGGUGUCAUCCGCAAACUACAGGAGCUUGAUGGACUGGUGACUGGAGGCGCAGGUGUUGGUGUACAGGGAGAAGAGCAGAGUGGAGUGAACGCAGCCUCGGGGGGAACCGGUGCUGAGCUCCCAACUGGACAAGGACGUGUCAGGUGACCAAAACAACAGAUUUUAUAUACGGAAACCCUGCAAAGAAUCAUUCUCUUUCCUGCAGACUACGGUCAGCAACUGAUUGACACACCAUAACUUUAGUCUUAACUUUGCUGGAAGGUCAAAGACUUUAUUUUGCUCUCUCUCACUUCCCGACCACUGGGGUUUUCCGCUAAGGAGCUUGAUUUGCUCAAAUAACAGCAAAAACGUCCUGACUGAACCUAUCACAUAGUACGUUUCUGUGCAGAUUAUAUAGUGUAUUAUAUGAACUUUAAUAUGACCAGACGGAACGGCCCUCA